CGAGAUUCUAAAAAGUAAUCAUUUCAGAUUGUUAGCAACUGUACUUGUAUAUUAGUUUACACCCAGAAAAACAGAGUGAACGUUUCAUCCAAUACGUCCGUUUGCCCGGUUUUCACUCUCGUGUAGGUAAACUGGGAACCAUUGACAUUUUUUUCCGGAAUAAUACGUUCCGGAUUAUCGCGGUCCGAGAAAUCGCGGUCCGGACUCUAUCGUUCCGGGAAAUUGUACACUCGGAAUUUCGUCGGCCCCUCCCGUAAUAGAAUAUAUUCCCCAGUUAUUUCCUACGGUUCGGGGUUAAUACACACAGUGUAGGCAUUAUUCGAUUUUCUCGCGAAACAAAAAGUCCGACGAGUUACGGGCAUUUUAUCUUUGCUCGAAAGUUUUAUACGCGCAUCACUCUCGGCGCAAUACAAUUACAUAUU
This is a non-coding RNA of Cinara cedri, 422 nucleotides long. The record is from the annotation of a GenBank genome assembly. NCBI's taxonomy places the organism in Eukaryota, Metazoa, Arthropoda, Insecta, Hemiptera, Aphididae.